GUGGACGGGAUGGACGAUGAAAGCCUAUGUUUCAUGGAGAGUCUGAGUGACAGCAACCAUGAUGAAAGUGAUACAGACUCAGUGGUGGAGAGCAUGAGCAGCCGCCAGGAUGAGGAGGCUGCAGCAACCCUCGAUGAUGUUGUGGAGGCCGGCGGGAGUGAGAAGACGGAGGAAGAGGCCCUGGCUGGGGCAAAUGAGGAGGAGGUGGGGCCGGGAACUGAGAAGGUGCAGGAGGAGGCUGCCUGCAUUGACGAGGCAGAGGAGGAGGUGGGCCCAUCCCUUGAAAAUGACGAGGAGUCCC
Molecule: long non-coding RNA, 301 nt
Filed under: Sus scrofa (pig)
Lineage: Eukaryota; Metazoa; Chordata; Mammalia; Artiodactyla; Suidae
Description: lncRNA (ENSSSCG00070001543.1)
Source: RNAcentral